This 484-nucleotide ribosomal RNA is filed under the name uncultured bacterium. Its description in RNAcentral is "bacterial SSU rRNA". It matches the Rfam family "Bacterial small subunit ribosomal RNA", at positions 30 to 509 of the family's 1533-position model. The record is from RNAcentral.
AUUGAACGCUGGCGGCAGGCCUAACACAUGCAAGUCGAGCGAGAAAGGUCUUCGGACUGAGUACAGCGGCGGACGGGUGAGUAAAGCGUAGGAAUCUACCUGGUAGUGGGGGAUAACUUGGGGAAACUCAAACUAAUACCGCAUACGCCUACGGGGAAGGCGGGGACCGUUCGGGCCUCGCGCUAUCAGAUGAGCCUGCGUAGGAUUAGCUAGUUGGUGAGGUAAAGGCUCACCAAGGCGACGAUCCUUAGCUGGUCUGAGAGGAUGAUCAGCCACACUGGGACUGAGACACGGCCCAGACUCCUACGGGAGGCAGCAGUGGGGAAUAUUGCGCAAUGGGCGAAAGCCUGACGCAGCCAUGCCGCGUGUGUGAAGAAGGCCCUUAGGGGUUGUAAAGCACUUUUCAAUUGGGAAGAAAAGUUGGUCGUUAAUAGCGGCCAGCCCUGACAUUACCUUUAGAAGAAGGACCGGCUAACUCCGUGCC